AAACGAUAGCUAAUACCGCAUAACAGUAGAUAUCGCAUGAUAUUUGCUUGAAAGGUGCAAUUGCACCACUACCAGAUGGACCUGCGUUGUAUUAGCUAGUUGGUGAGGUAACGGCUCACCAAGGCAACGAUACAUAGCCGACCUGAGAGGGUGAUCGGCCACACUGGGACUGAGACACGGCCCAG
RNAcentral lists this ribosomal RNA (185 nucleotides) under uncultured Streptococcaceae bacterium. Its description in RNAcentral is "partial 16S ribosomal RNA". It matches the Rfam family "Bacterial small subunit ribosomal RNA", at positions 154 to 334 of the family's 1533-position model. Lineage: Bacteria; Bacillati; Bacillota; Bacilli; Lactobacillales; Streptococcaceae. The record is from RNAcentral.